RNAcentral lists this ribosomal RNA (506 nucleotides) under uncultured bacterium. RNAcentral describes it as "partial 16S ribosomal RNA". It matches the Rfam family "Bacterial small subunit ribosomal RNA", at positions 29 to 523 of the family's 1533-position model. The record is from RNAcentral.
AGUGAACGCUGGCGGCAGGCCUAACACAUGCAAGUCGAACGGCAGCACAGGAGAGCUUGCUCUCUGGGUGGCGAGUGGCGGACGGGUGAGGAAUAUAUCGGAAUCUACCCUUUCGUGGGGGAUAACGUAGGGAAACUUACGCUAAUACCGCAUACGAACUGAGGUUGAAAGCGGCGGACCGCAUGGCGUCGCGCGGAGGGAUGAGCCUAUAUCCGAUUAGCUAGUUGGCGGGGUAAAGGCCCACCAAGGCGACGAUCGGUAGCUGGUCUGAGAGGAUGAUCAGCCACACUGGAACUGAGACACGGUCCAGACUCCUACGGGAGGCAGCAGUGGGGAAUAUUGGACAAUGGGCGCAAGCCUGAUCCAGCCAUGCCGCGUGUGUGAAGAAGGCCUUCGGGUUGUAAAGCACUUUUGUUGGGAAAGAAAAGCGGUCGGUUAAUACCCGGUCGUUCUGACGGUACCCAAAGAAUAAGCACCGGCUAACUUCGUGCCAGCAGCCGCCGUAA